This 69-nucleotide transfer RNA is filed under the name Candidatus Magasanikiibacteriota bacterium. RNAcentral's name for it is "Candidatus Magasanikbacteria bacterium tRNA-OTHER". It matches the Rfam family "tRNA". From Rfam's summary of the family: Transfer RNA (tRNA) molecules are approximately 80 nucleotides in length. Their secondary structure includes four short double-helical elements and three loops (D, anti-codon, and T loops). Further hydrogen bonds mediate the characteristic L-shaped molecular structure. tRNAs have two regions of fundamental functional importance: the anti-codon, which is responsible for specific mRNA codon recognition, and the 3' end, to which the tRNAs corresponding amino acid is attached (by aminoacyl-tRNA synthetases). tRNAs cope with the degeneracy of the genetic code in two manners: having more than one tRNA (with a specific anti-codon) for a particular amino acid; and 'wobble' base-pairing, i.e. permitting non-standard base-pairing at the 3rd anti-codon position. The record is from RNAcentral. Lineage: Bacteria; Candidatus Magasanikiibacteriota.
GGCCACGUAGCCAAGUGGUAAGGNNUGCAAAACUCCUAUGCGCCGGUUCGAUUCCGACCGUGGCCUCCA